Coffea arabica (coffee) is the source of this 437-nucleotide non-coding RNA. The record is from RefSeq and is a predicted model, not a curated record. Lineage: Eukaryota; Viridiplantae; Streptophyta; Magnoliopsida; Gentianales; Rubiaceae.
CCUUUUCUAUGUAUAAUUUCUCCCUUUUUUGCUUGCCAUAACUUUUCUGUAUAAUUCUUUUUUUCUUUUGGGAGCCACAAAAAAUCUCCCUUGGCCUCUGAGAAGAGGAAAUAAAAGGGUGUUCCAAAAAAAAACAGGCAAGUCUCCUUAACUCGCUAAACAAAAUCAUGAUCUGUUAAUAUUUUGUUUUGCUUUCUUAUCACCUAGAUCGACAUGAUUUGCAUAUCUUGAAGACUAAUGGAGCACGAGAAGAAGGAAAGAAUAGUUCAGUUUUUGGCAAAAUGUUCACUUCAGCUUGAGAUGUUAAGAUCUGCGAAUUCUUUUCUCAAGAUGAAGGAACAAAGCAAAAAGGAGACUAAUUUUUUUCAUUUAGCCUUAAAGAUCUGAUUGAUAUUUAGAUAGCUGUAACUUGGAAGCUAGUGGAAGCUCGUGGUUUU